AUCCAACUGACGAGUCCCAAAUAGGACGGAAAGCGCGGCCUGGAU
Non-coding RNA from Schistosoma rodhaini, 45 nucleotides. The record is from Rfam. Lineage: Eukaryota; Metazoa; Platyhelminthes; Trematoda; Strigeidida; Schistosomatidae.